CGAGGAAUAUUGCACAAUGGGCGCAAGCCUGAUGCAGCAACGCCGCGUGAGGGACGAAGGCCUUCGGGUCGUAAACCUCUUUUCUGGGGGACGAGUAAGGACGGUACCCCAGGAAUAAGUCUCGGCUAACUACGUGCCAGCAGCCGCGGUAAAACGUAGGAGGCGAGCGUUAUCCGGAUUUACUGGGCGUAAAGCGUACGCAGGUGGCUUCGUUAGUCGGACAUGAAAGCUCCUGGCUUAACUGGGAGAGGUUGUUCGAUACUGCGGGGCUUGAGGUUGGGAGAGGGACGUGGAAUUCCCGGUGUAGUGGUGGAAUGCGUAGAUAUCGGGAGGAACACCAGUGGCGCAAGCGGCGUCCUGGCCCACACCUGACGCUGAGGUACGAAAGCGUGGGUAGCAAACAG
This 404-nucleotide ribosomal RNA is filed under the name uncultured bacterium. Its description in RNAcentral is "bacterial SSU rRNA". It matches the Rfam family "Bacterial small subunit ribosomal RNA", at positions 355 to 775 of the family's 1533-position model. The record is from RNAcentral.